This 253-nucleotide ribosomal RNA is filed under the name uncultured bacterium. Its description in RNAcentral is "partial 16S ribosomal RNA". It matches the Rfam family "Bacterial small subunit ribosomal RNA", at positions 524 to 776 of the family's 1533-position model. The record is from RNAcentral.
UACGUAGGGGGCAAGCGUUGUCCGGAAUCAUUGGGCGUAAAGAGCGUGUAGGCGGUCCGGUAAGUCGGCUGUGAAAGUCCAGGGCUCAACCCUGGGAUGCCGGUCGAUACUGCCGGACUAGAGUUCGGAAGAGGCGAGUGGAAUUCCCGGUGUAGCGGUGAAAUGCGCAGAUAUCGGGAGGAACACCUAUGGCGAAGGCAGCUCGCUGGGACGUUACUGACGCUGAGAAGCGAAAGCGUGGGGAGCGAACAGG